UACGGCGAGUGAGAGGGAAGAGCCCAAGAUUGAAAGCUGGCGUCUUCGGCGUCCGCAUUGUAAUCUCAAGAAGUGUUUUCCGCUUCGGACCAAGCCUAAGUCCCCUGGAAAGGGGCAUCAUAGAGGGUGAUAAUCCCGUACAUGGCUUGGAGCGCCCGAGGCUUUGUGAUACGCUUUCUAAGAGUCGAGUUGUUUGGGAAUGCAGCUCAAAAUGGGUGGUAAAUGCCAUCUAAGGCUAAAUAUUGGGGAGAGACCGAUAGCGAACAAGUACAGUGAUGGAAAGAUGAAAAGAACUUUGAAAAGAGAGUUAAACAGUACGUGAAAUUGCCAAAAGGGAAGGGUAGGAGGUCAGAGAUGCGGCCUGGGAUUCAGCCUUGCUUUUGCCUGGUGUUUUUCCCAGAUUGCAGGCCAACGUCGGUUUUGGGCACUGGAGAAGGGUAGGAGGAACGUGGCACCCCUCGGGGUGUGUUAUAGCCUCCUACUGGAUACAGCGACCGAGACCGAGGACAGCAGCGUACUCGCAAGAGCGGGCCUUCGGGCACCUUUACGCUUAGGGCGUUGGCAUAAUGGCCCUCUACCACCCGUCUUGA
RNAcentral lists this ribosomal RNA (590 nucleotides) under uncultured Pseudozyma. RNAcentral describes it as "LSU rRNA". It matches the Rfam family "Eukaryotic large subunit ribosomal RNA", at positions 85 to 657 of the family's 3401-position model. Lineage: Eukaryota; Fungi; Basidiomycota; Ustilaginomycetes; Ustilaginales; Ustilaginaceae. The record is from RNAcentral.